This 250-nucleotide ribosomal RNA is filed under the name uncultured bacterium. RNAcentral describes it as "partial 16S ribosomal RNA". It matches the Rfam family "Bacterial small subunit ribosomal RNA", at positions 355 to 600 of the family's 1533-position model. The record is from RNAcentral.
UCGAGAAUCUUCGGCAAUGGACGAAAGUCUGACCGAGCGACGCCGCGUGCGGGACGAAGGCCUUCGGGUUGUAAACCGCUGUCGUAGAGGAUCAAAGGUAAUUGGGUUCUCCCUUUUAUUUGAGUGAUUCUAGGAGGAAGGAGAGGCUAAGCUCGUGCCAGCAGCCGCGGUAAGACGAGCUCUCCAAACGUUAUUCGGUAUCACUGGGCUUAAAGAGUUCGUAGGCGGCUUUGUAGGUGGGGUGUGAAAG